GACAACAGGCUGAUGACUUCCAAGAGCCCUUAUCGAUUGGCACCUCGAUGUCGAUUCAUUACAUCCUGGGGUUGAAGAAGGUCCCAAGGGUUCGGUUGUUCGCCGAUGAAAGUGGCACGUGAGUUGGGUUUAGAACGUCAUUC
RNAcentral lists this non-coding RNA (143 nucleotides) under Physcomitrium patens. Its description in RNAcentral is "Physcomitrella patens Bacterial large subunit ribosomal RNA". It matches the Rfam family "Bacterial large subunit ribosomal RNA", at positions 2473 to 2624 of the family's 2925-position model. The record is from Rfam by way of RNAcentral. Lineage: Eukaryota; Viridiplantae; Streptophyta; Bryopsida; Funariales; Funariaceae.